Molecule: ribosomal RNA, 498 nt
Filed under: uncultured bacterium
Lineage: Bacteria
Description: partial 16S ribosomal RNA
Rfam family: Bacterial small subunit ribosomal RNA
Source: RNAcentral
AUUGAACGCUGGCGGCAUGCCUUACACAUGCAAGUCGAACGGUAACGCGGGGCAACCUGGCGACGAGUGGCGAACGGGUGAGUAAAGCAUCGGAACGUGCCCAGUAGUGGGGGAUAGCCCGGCGAAAGCCGGAUUAAUACCGCAUACGACCUAUGGGUGAAAGGGGGGGAUCGCAAGACCUCUCGCUAUUGGAGCGGCCGAUGUCAGAUUAGGUAGUUGGUGGGGUAAAGGCCUACCAAGCCGACGAUCUGUAGCUGGUCUGAGAGGACGACCAGCAACACUGGGACUGGGACACGGCCCAGACUCCUACGGGAGGCAGCAGUGGGGAAUUUUGGACAAUGGGCGCAAGCCUGAUCCAGCCAUGCCGCGUGCGGGAAGAAGGCCUUCGGGUUGUAAACCGCUUUUGUCAGGGAAGAAAUCCUUUGGGUUAAUACCUCGGGGGGAUGACGGUACCUGAAGAAUAAGCACCGGCUAACUACGUGCCAGCAGCCGCCGUAA